UACGGAGGGUGCAAGCGUUAUCCGGAAUCAUUGGGUUUAAAGGGUCCGUAGGUGGAUAAUUAAGUCAGAGGUGAAAGUUUGCCGCUUAACGGUAAAAUUGCCUUUGAUACUGGUUGUCUUGAAUCAUUAUGAAGUGGUUAGAAUAUGUAGUGUAGCGGUGAAAUGCAUAGAUAUUACAUAGAAUACCAAUUGCGAAGGCAGAUCACUAAUAAUGUAUUGACACUGAUGGACGAAAGCGUGGGGAGCGAACAGG
This 253-nucleotide ribosomal RNA is filed under the name uncultured bacterium. Its description in RNAcentral is "partial 16S ribosomal RNA". It matches the Rfam family "Bacterial small subunit ribosomal RNA", at positions 524 to 776 of the family's 1533-position model. The record is from RNAcentral.